GUGGACGGCCGGACGGCCGCGGGGGUCGCGAGACCCGCGAGGAAAGUCCGGACUCCAGGGAGAAAUGGCGGCGGGUAACGCCCGCCCGGGGUGACCCGAGGGAAAGCGCCACAGAGAUCAGACCGCCUGCCUUCGUCUUCGGACUUGGGCAGGCAAGGGUGAAACGGUGGGGUAAGAGCCCACCGCGCCGGCGGCGACGUCGGCGGCACGGCAAGCCCCGCCAGGAGCAAGGCCAAAUAGGGGUCGCGCGGACCGCAAGGUCCAGGGGUCUCCCCCCGAGCGAUCCGGGUUGGCUGCUGGAGCCCGUCCGCAAGGGCGGGCCUAGAGGAAUGGUCGUCGUCGCCCCGGCAACGGGGCGUCACAAAAUCCGGCUUACAGGCCGUCCACGCAC
Molecule: RNase P RNA, 391 nt
Filed under: Amaricoccus sp. HAR-UPW-R2A-40
Lineage: Bacteria; Pseudomonadati; Pseudomonadota; Alphaproteobacteria; Rhodobacterales; Paracoccaceae
Description: Bacterial RNase P class A
Rfam family: Bacterial RNase P class A
About the family: Ribonuclease P (RNase P) is a ubiquitous endoribonuclease, found in archaea, bacteria and eukarya as well as chloroplasts and mitochondria. Its best characterised activity is the generation of mature 5'-ends of tRNAs by cleaving the 5'-leader elements of precursor-tRNAs.
Source: Rfam by way of RNAcentral